GGCCACUGCUAAAAUCCAUAAAGCCCAGGACAGUAUUUUUCUCUCCCUCGGGUCCAGCGGGUAGAUAAUAACACAGAGGACCUUGGUGGGCCCCUCAUCAUUGUGGCCGGGACAGCAUCGACAACAGCCCUGUCUGGCUGUCAGUCGUAUUGUUGACUAGGGGCCCGGAGUGACACUGGCCCCCUGAAGCGUCCACCUGAUAUAGCAGUGAAAGAUCACAGACAUGGACUUUCAGCCUGGUCCAAACUUGAGAAAACUGUACUAAGCAGAUUUUGAUGGAUGUCCCUGCUGAAAAGACCAGCAUGUACAAUUUCCAAACCAACUGCGAUUCGCCGCAGCCAGACUCCCAGGAGGCCACUGGUGUCUGGACAUGAUGUCACACCUCUAACAUCUUCUAGCCUCUGCUGCCUGAAAGUGACAGCUCUUGGCUUCUUCACGGUGAAGAGAAAGCCUGCGUGGAAUGGUUUCUCUGCACUCAGUACUGCACCAAACUUCUGGUUUCCGUGCUGAAAAGACACUGCUGUUGUGUUUUGGUACCCAGUGUGGGAUUCAGGCUUCUUCGGCCCAAAACACACUCUCUGAAUGUACCUUAAUGUUCUUGCUAUACAAGCGUGAUUUCACAUUGCUUUAAUAAAUGCAUCAGAACACAUUCAAGGGGUACUAUUGCAUGGUAAACAAACGUUUAUAGAUAUUAAGAAACUAAAAUGUAAUAUAUUAAUAAUUAAUGAAAGCAGUUAUUAUUGCGAAACAAUUAAGUCAAUAAAUAAUUAAACCAAUAAAUGAAAUAUACCUCUAUUUAUUUUUUAAUAUUCCAUGAAAAAACACACCAUUUAAUAUCCACUUUCAUAAAACCACUACUGCAAUUAAAUGAUUU
Molecule: long non-coding RNA, 874 nt
Organism: Cyprinus carpio (common carp)
Lineage: Eukaryota; Metazoa; Chordata; Actinopteri; Cypriniformes; Cyprinidae
Source: RefSeq, a predicted model, not a curated record